AGCCAAGGCCAUUACUGCCAUUUCUGCAUCUUUAUAAUAUCCACUAUGGGAAGCCUUUCCAUAUUUUAUAUACCUGUAAACUGUAAUAUUAGAAAUCAUUUUGAAGAAGAGUCACAACAAACAGCAUAAUGCCACAGCACAGAGACCCAGGCAUAGAUCCACACAAAUAUGAAACCUGGAUAUACGGAUGUAAUGUGACAAAUAGGAGGAAAAGCCUGGACUAACAGUGGGUUUUAGGACAAGUGAGUGAAUAAUCCACAUGGAAUUAACUUUUGUGAGAGUGUGGACUUAAUAUGACUUUGAAAUUUUUUCAUAUAGAAAAAAA
RNAcentral lists this long non-coding RNA (325 nucleotides) under Homo sapiens (human). RNAcentral describes it as "non-protein coding lnc-DRD5-19:1". The record is from RNAcentral. Lineage: Eukaryota; Metazoa; Chordata; Mammalia; Primates; Hominidae.